AUANAAGNCAANANGACCGAACGCGAUCCUUGUUAGGGGACCUCGGAGAGCCGGGACUCGAGGAAUCGCCGGGGUGCACCGAGGAAGGUGGGGAUGACGUCAAAUCAUCAUGCCCCUUACGUCUAGGGCUGCAAACAUGCUACAAUGGCCGGUACAAAGGGCUGCUAUCCCGCGAGGGUGAGCGAAUCCCAGAAAGCCGGUCUCAGUUCGGAUNGGAGUCUGCAACUUGACUCCAUGAAGUCGGAGUCGCUAGUAAUCCCGGAUCAGCACUGCCGGGGUGAAUACGUACCCGGGCCUNGUACACACCGCCCGUCACACCACGAAAGUGGGUAACACCCGAAGUCAGUGGCUUUUUUCAAGGAGGGAGCUGCCGAAGGUGGGAUCAGCGAUUGGGGUGAAGUCGUAACAUGGUAGCCGUANCGGAAGGUGCGGCUGGAUCACCUCCAUUUCUAAGGAGUCUAUGUCAGCCAUUCCGGNUUGGCAGAUACNCAGUCGAUGCACGCACUACUCGGCUUCUCGAGCUCGUUGGUUGUCGUACGACUNGUCCUCCAGCCGCCGGGUGACNGAAGUCGGACUCUUCUGUUGCGUGUGACGGAGCGAUGCUCAGCGACNGUCGUCGCUCAUGACCCCGUGGGCUCUGGCCGCGGGUCCUCUGUCGGUACGGCUCGACCAUGAGAAUCCAUAGCGAGCACGAGCAUCUUGAUUCUCANGCUACAAGAGCCACGGUGGAUGCCUGCGCUGAUGCGAUGAGGACUGGUGCGCAAAGCCGGACGCGACAGCUGUCUGAUGAUGGAACGAUAAGUCGGCCGUG
Molecule: ribosomal RNA, 811 nt
Filed under: uncultured bacterium
Lineage: Bacteria
Description: bacterial SSU rRNA
Rfam family: Bacterial small subunit ribosomal RNA (bases 1-448)
Source: RNAcentral